UUCGCCCUUAGAGUUUGAUCCUGGCUCAGGACGAACGCUGGCGGCGCGCCUAACACAUGCAAGUCGAACGGAGCUUAGAGAGCUUGCUUUUUAAGCUUAGUGGCGAACGGGUGAGUAACGCGUGAGUAACCUGCCCUAGAGUGGGGGACAACAGUUGGAAACGACUGCUAAUACCGCAUAAGCCCACGGUACCGCAUGGUACUGAGGGAAAAGGAUUUAUUCGCUUUAGGAUGGACUCGCGUCCAAUUAGCUAGUUGGUGAGGUAACGGCCCACCAAGGCGACGAUUGGUAGCCGGACUGAGAGGUUGAACGGCCACAUUGGGACUGAGACACGGCCCAGACUCCUACGGGAGGCAGCAGUGGGGGAUAUUGCACAAUGGGGGAAACCCUGAUGCAGCGACGCCGCGUGGAGGAAGAAGGUUUUCGGAUUGUAAACUCCUGUCGUUAGGGACGAUAAUGACGGUACCUAACAAGAAAGCACCGGCUAACUACGUGCCAGCAGCCGCGGUAAAACGUAGGGUGCAAGCGUUGUCCGGAAUUACUGGGUGUAAAGGGAGCGCAGGCGGGAAGACAAGUUGGAAGUGAAAACCAUGGGCUCAACCCAUGAAUUGCUUUCAAAACUGUUUUUCUUGAGUAGUGCAGAGGUAGAUGGAAUUCCCGGUGUAGCGGUGGAAUGCGUAGAUAUCGGGAGGAACACCAGUGGCGAAGGCGGUCUACUGGGCACCAACUGACGCUGAGGCUCGAAAGCAUGGGUAGCAAACAGGAUUAGAUACCCUGGUAGUCCAUGCCGUAAACGAUGAUUACUAGGUGUUGGGGGAUUAACCCCCUCAGUGCCGCAGUUAACACAAUAAGUAAUCCACCUGGGGAGUACGACCGCAAGGUUGAAACUCAAAGGAAUUGACGGGGGCCCGCACAAGCAGUGGAGUAUGUGGUUUAAUUCGACGCAACGCGAAGAACCUUACCAAGUCUUGACAUCCUGCGACGCACAUAGAAAUAUGUGUUUCCUUCGGGACGCAGAGACAGGUGGUGCAUGGUUGUCGUCAGCUCGUGUCGUGAGAUGUUGGGUUAAGUCCCGCAACGAGCGCAACCCUUACUGUCAGUUACUACGCAAGAGGACUCUGGCAGGACUGCCGUUGACAAAACGGAGGAAGGUGGGGAUGACGUCAAAUCAUCAUGCCCUUUAUGACUUGGGCUACACACGUACUACAAUGGCGUUAAACAAAGAGAAGCAAGACCGCGAGGUGGAGCAAAACUCAGAAACAACGUCCCAGUUCGGACUGCAGGCUGCAACUCGCCUGCACGAAGUCGGAAUUGCUAGUAAUCGUGGAUCAGCAUGCCACGGUGAAUACGUUCCCGGGCCUUGCACUCACCGCCCGUCA
Molecule: ribosomal RNA, 1379 nt
Filed under: uncultured bacterium
Lineage: Bacteria
Description: 16S ribosomal RNA
Rfam family: Bacterial small subunit ribosomal RNA
Source: RNAcentral